Molecule: ribosomal RNA, 254 nt
Filed under: uncultured bacterium
Lineage: Bacteria
Description: partial 16S ribosomal RNA
Rfam family: Bacterial small subunit ribosomal RNA
Source: RNAcentral
UACGAAGGGGGCUAGCGUUGUUCGGAUUUACUGGGCGUAAAGCGCACGUAGGCGGAUCGAUCAGUCAGGGGGUGAAAUCCCAGAGCUCAACUCUGGAACUGCCUUUGAUACUGUCGAUCUGGAGUAUGGAAGAGGUGAGUGGAAUUCCGAGUGUAGAGGUGAAAUUCGUAGAUAUUCGGAGGAACACCAGUGGCGAAGGCGGCUCACUGGUCCAUUACUGACGCUGAGGUGCGAAAGCGUGGGGGAGAAACAGG